UGAAACAAAUACCAGUUAUGCUGAUCGUGCAAAUGCAUACUGGACAGGAUACUUUACCAGUAGGGCAGCUAUCAAACGCUAUGUCAGAUAAAUGAGUGGCUAUUAUUUGGUAUAAUUUGUAUAUUUGUAGUUUACAAGGUAGUCAAUGUCUUCCACUGGUGUUUGGAUAUUUACUUUCUACCAAUAAAUUAUUAGGCUGCAAGACAACUAGAGUUUUUUAGGGGGAGAAGGAAUUCAGGGCCAAAUACAGACUCAUUAGCUGAUGCUUUAGCAAUUGCGCAACACCAUGAUGCAGUCACUGGCACAGAAAAGCAGCAUGUGGCUAAUGAUUAUUCUAAACAAUUGUCAAUAGGCUACAAGGAGGCGGAGGAUUUGGUUUCAUCAUCGCUGGCUUGGUUGAUUGAGUCACCGUUGCUUACUACAUGUCAAAACCCAGUUACAAAGUUUCAACAAGUGAAAGAGCUCAAAUCCUUUUAAUGUCCACUUUUGAACAUAAAUUGCUGUCCUGCAUCAGAAGUUGAUCUGGUUCAAGGAAAGAAUUUGUUUACAACUCUCUAGGCUGGAGGAGGAAUGAAGUGAUUCUGAUUCCGGGGAGUGAUGUCACUCUAGUAUUUCUUGAUUGCUAGGGCCGGUCGUGAUUUUGUGUCCUAGGCGGUGUGAGAAAAUUAUGUCUUCAUAAUCAAGAUUCUUCAAAAUAACAUUUUCGGUAGAAAUUAAAGACUAUUAAGCUACCCUGGGAAAUAAUAAAUCACAAAUAGGAAUGAAGUGAUUCGGAUUACAUUAAUAACAUUAAAUAACAAAAAUAGGUUUAUUUAUUAAUAUAUUUGUUUAAAUAUUA
RNA transcript from Glycine soja, 838 nucleotides. It is a transcript of the gene named alpha-mannosidase At3g26720-like, with no coding region annotated. NCBI's taxonomy places the organism in Eukaryota, Viridiplantae, Streptophyta, Magnoliopsida, Fabales, Fabaceae. The transcript has 4 exons. The record is from RefSeq and is a predicted model, not a curated record.